UGGGGAAUAUUGCACAAUGGGGAAGACCCUGAUGCAGCGACGCCGCGUGAGCGAUGAAGUAUUUCGGUAUGUAAAGCUCUAUCAGCAGGGAAGAAAGUGACGGUACCUGACUAAGAAGCCCCGGCUAACUACGUGCCAGCAGCCGCGGUAAUACGUAGGGGCGAAGCGUUAUCCGGAUUUACUGGGUGUAAAGGGAGCGUAGACGGAAGUGCAAGUCUGAAGUGAAAGCCCGGGGCUCAACCCCGGGCAGCUGUUGGCAAUGACUGUAUUUUCUAGAGUGCUGGAGAGGUAAGUGGAAUUCCUAGUGUAGCGGUGAAAUGCGUAGAUAUUAGGAGGAACACCAGUGGCGAAGGCGGCUUACUGGACAGUGACUGACGUUGAGGCUCGAAAGCGUGGGGAGCAAACAGGAUUAGAUACCC
This 419-nucleotide ribosomal RNA is filed under the name uncultured bacterium. Its description in RNAcentral is "bacterial SSU rRNA". It matches the Rfam family "Bacterial small subunit ribosomal RNA", at positions 355 to 787 of the family's 1533-position model. The record is from RNAcentral.